GUCCACGCCGUAAACGAUGGGUGCUAGAUAUCGGGGCUUAAGCUUCGGUGUCGUAGCAAACGCGUUAAGCACCCCGCCUGGGGAGUACGGUCGCAAGAUUAAAACUCAAAGGAAUUGACGGGACCCGCACAAGCGGUGGAGCAUGUGGUUUAAUUCGAUGCUACGCGAAAACCUUACCACCUUUUGACAUCCCUCCUACCGGAGCUUGUAAUAGAGCUCCUUCAGUUCGGCUGGGGAGGAGACAGGUGUUGCAUGGCUGUCGU
RNAcentral lists this ribosomal RNA (263 nucleotides) under uncultured bacterium. Its description in RNAcentral is "partial 16S ribosomal RNA". It matches the Rfam family "Bacterial small subunit ribosomal RNA", at positions 793 to 1055 of the family's 1533-position model. The record is from RNAcentral.